RNAcentral lists this ribosomal RNA (541 nucleotides) under uncultured bacterium. RNAcentral describes it as "partial 16S ribosomal RNA". It matches the Rfam family "Bacterial small subunit ribosomal RNA", at positions 355 to 889 of the family's 1533-position model. The record is from RNAcentral.
UGGGGAAUUUUGGACAAUGGGGGCAACCCUGAUCCAGCAAUGCCGCGUGUGUGAAGAAGGCCUUCGGGUUGUAAAGCACUUUUGUCCGGAAAGAAAACGUCGUGGUUAAUACCCGUGGCGGCUGACGGUACCGGAAGAAUAAGCACCGGCUAACUACGUGCCAGCAGCCGCGGUAAUACGUAGGGUGCAAGCGUUAAUCGGAAUUACUGGGCGUAAAGCGUGCGCAGGCGGUCCGCUAAGACAGAUGUGAAAUCCCCGGGCUUAACCUGGGAACUGCAUUUGUGACUGGCGGGCUAGAGUAUGGCAGAGGGGGGUAGAAUUCCACGUGUAGCAGUGAAAUGCGUAGAGAUGUGGAGGAAUACCGAUGGCGAAGGCAGCCCCUGGGCCAAUACUGACGCUCAUGCACGAAAGCGUGGGGGAGCAAACAGGAUUAGAUACCCUGGUAGUCCACGCCCUAAACGAUGUCAACUAGUUGUCGGGUCUUCAUUGACUUGGUAACGUAGCUAACGCGUGAAGUUGACCGCCUGGGGAGUACGGUCGC